Molecule: long non-coding RNA, 5278 nt
Filed under: Homo sapiens (human)
Lineage: Eukaryota; Metazoa; Chordata; Mammalia; Primates; Hominidae
Description: HSALNT0220762
Source: RNAcentral
GUAAACUUGAUUUUACUCAUAUAUUUUAUUUAACCCAAUAUAUUGAAAUAUUAUCAUUUAACAUUAAUAUUAUGUUACUAGUAAAAUAGUAAUGAGAUAUUUUACAUUUUCUUGUACUAAAUCUUCAAAAUUCAUCGUGUAUUUUACACUCAGGUCAUUUCAAUGUGUACUGGCUACAAUGUGAGCACUCAAUAGCUGCAGGGUGGUAGUGGUUACAAAGCUAAUAAGAAGAGGAACUGGAAUUGGGACCCCCAAGGGGGAACUGGGACCCUGUUCCGACCUCCAAGUCAGUUCUGUCCCUGCUGCUAUGCAAGAACUAUUUUUGUUCCAACACAAGUAAAUGACUUCUCUGAAGAUAUCCUUAAAGCUUACCCAGGCCAGCCCCCCACCCAAGGUGGAGGGGCCUAUUGAUGUGGCCUGGAGUUCACGGGAACAUCAUAGCACAAGAUAAACUCGCUCAAAGAAGACAUCAGGGCCAAGAUGACAGACUUCAGGGCUACUCGCUCUGUUGCCCAGGAUGGAGUUCAGUGGCUCAAUCACGACUCACUGCAGCCUCAACCUCCCUGGGCUCAGGGGAUUCUCUUGCCUCAGCCUCCCAAGUAGCUGGGACUACAGGCAUAUAGCAUCACACCUAGCUAACUUUUGUAUUUUUUUGCAGAGAAGGGGUUUCGCAAACUCCAACUCAAUUAGAUGAAUUCUGGCUCCAUAAGAAGCAUGUGUUUCCCACUGGGGCCUCCCCUCCGACCUUCCAGAACUUGGCACUCAAACUAGGUAUAUCUUAUCCCUUCCCCAAGUCCCUGUCUAGCUGCUCUAUCCACGUACAAACUCAGAGGCUAUUUUCUACCAUGCAGACUGGGAUUCAGAGGAAGAACCUGACACAGGCAGGGGAAGCAGAGGAAGCAAUGGGGAGAAAGAACUUGCAGGGUUCCUGCAAUGUCCCCAUCCCUGAUUCAAAUUCCCUGUUCGUGGGCUCUGUGAGACAUCCCUCCAACCAUAGAACAAGUUCUUUCUGCCACUUGAGGUCAUCUCAGUGAGUUUUGGAUGAUUGCAGCCAAUUGACCCUAACAGCUGGGCCUCACUCAGAGGCCCAGGAGUGGGCUCCAGUUGAGCAGAAGCCUGCGGCCUUAUUUCUGCUUCCUCUUCUAGAUGGCAGUAGGGCCACCCCAGUUUGUCCCCACAUCCCAUCAGCAUUUCUGAGGAUUUUGUUCAGUCGUAUUACAAGUUUACUGGGGUCCUGCCAUGGAGGACCUAAGGCCUCUGUGGGCCUCUGUCCUGUCUACUCCACAUUCAGAGCCCUGGCUCUCUUCCUGUGAGUCCCAAGCUGCCCAUCAAGUCUUCUCUGAUCCCCAGUUGGAACACAUGCUCCUUCUGCAUUCCCACCCCUGUUACUGCAUCCCAGGCUUCACCGUUAAGCUCCUACUUCCUUCUGUCCUCGCUUUCAUUGGAAAGCUGAUUGGAUAGCCAGCUUCCUCACUUAGUUGUGGGUAAGGACAAUAUUAAUCACCUUUUAUUUUCUCAGGUUUCUCCCCACACAUCUCCUUCCCUGUGCCUACGAAGUAGUAGGUGCUCAAAUGUGUUGACUGAAGGAAGGACAAGAUGAAAGGAGAAAAGGAGUGAAGGAGGAAGCAAAGAAAGGACGCUUCAGCCACUUAGUUAAAGUAUAAGAUAACAUCUAGUGUAAUUCAAUUCUAGACCAGACUGCCUGCAGGAGAACCUCACCAAGAGGAGCCAGCCAGCAAGGGAAUUGCAGCCUGCAUGGUGCAGACAAAACAGCCCCGGAAUGGCAUCUUUUUCAGGGAAAUCAAAAGGUCUUAAGCAGCGAGCUCCCAUCAUUCAGAUCCUGAAUGCUCUAAGGGGAUCAUACAACUGCAAUUCACUUCUGCAUAUGCAUCUAUUACGGUGUUCACAUCUGAGUGCAGCACAGAAACAGUCUUUUUUUGUUGUGUUUUUGUUUGUUUGUUUUGAGAUGGGGUCUCACUCUGUCGCCCAGGCAGGAGUGCAGUGGCUCAAUCACGGCUCACUGCAGCCUCAACCACCUCAGGCUCAGAUGAUCCUUCUGCCUCAGACUCCCAAGUAGCUGGGACUACAGGCACACAUCACCACACCUGACUAAUUUUUGUAUGCUUUGAAGAGAUGGGGUUUCACCAUGUUGCCCAGGCUGGUCUCAAACUCCUGAGCUCAAGCGAUCUGCCUCCCUUGGCCUCCCAAAGUGCUGGGGUUACAGGUGUGAGCCGCCACACCUGGCCCAGAAACAGUCUUUAAGAGGGAUGUGGAUAUUCAAGAAUUGAAAUUUAGAGACUCAGAAAAUGGACCUAAUGACAAACAAAUGUUUUUUGAGAGCCUAACUGUUUCCAGAUGCUCCACUGGACACUGGGAAUCCAAUGGUCAGCAAAAUAAGCACGGACCAUACACAUGUGGAGUUUGUAGAUUAUUGAGUCAACAGCACACAUCAGAAAUUGACUCAAAAAAAUUAAAAUCUAAAGGCAAAUAAAUGUUAAGCAAUUAUUUUGAGAGGCAAAAUUGAGAUAAUAGAAUAAGGUUUGGAUUCAGACCAGAAUUGGGUUCAAAUGCUGAUUUUGCAACAUUUAAUGAAAAGAAGACAAAAUUAUACACACACAUGGUUUUAAAAGUCCAGUGGUUCUACAAGUUUAUAAUGAAAAUUAGCACCCUCUUGCCCCUUGAUCCCCAUUGCGUAGUCACAGCCACUUUUAACUCUUUAAGCUAUUUCUUCUGGUAUUUAUCAUCAUAUAUUUCAAUUACACACUUAUAUGGCCAUAUCUGGAUUUUGUUUAAAUUUUAGAUCCCAUCUAGUGACUCUCCAUGUGGAAACUGAGGUUUUGGUCUCUUAAAUCUUCCUCCCACAUGCCCCCUCAUUCUUCAAAUACAGCUAUAUCGUAAUUUUGUUUAAAUCAAUAAUCACGGCUUAUGCUCUAUGACCGCGUGAUCAUCAGUCACAGGCCAUGAAGUGCAUUUUAUAGUAAUAUUUUCUUUCGUAUACAACUUUUUGUUUUUCCUGAAGCUAACAACUAUCACCUUUUCUCCACUUAUUUAGCUUUUUAUGUAUUAAUACUUAUCACUAAGUCAUCACUAGCUUUCCUUCAAAAGUGACAGUGUGUCACAUGACCAAACUCAUCCGGUCAUAUGUCAACAGCAUUUUUUUUCUGGAGACAGCCUCCACCUCCACUUCCCGGAAGAGCUCUCUAAACUCCUGCUCCAGCCUGGACUGGUGGGGCUCCAGGCAGCCCCAUGGUGCCAUCCUGGGGCUUCGCUUGCCAUCAUCCAGGGUGUCCUCUGGGCAUUAUCUCCUGGGAUGCGUUACCUGCUUCCUUUAUCUCAUGCUGUCCUUUUUUUUGGAUAAUUCCCUCAUUUUGGAGGAAUAUACCCAAGGGUAAAUAGGAAUUAAGGAUUUCAAGACAUUGUAUUUCUGAAACUGUCUUGAUUGAUAGUUUGGACAUGUACAGGAUUCUAGGGAUAGAGAAGUAAUUCUCUCUUAGAAUUUGGAAGGCAUUGCUGCACGGGUUUUGGCAUCUAAUGUUGCUUUUCUUGAGAAGUCUGAUGCCAUCCUGAUUCCUGAUCUUGCCUUGCCUCCCCCUACAGAUUUUAGGGCCUUAUCUUUGUCUCUGAUGGUCUGAAGCUUCAUAAUUACAGUAGUGCCCCCUUAUCCACAGUUUCCACAGUUUCUGUUACCUGUGGUCAACCACGGCUCAAAAAUAUUAAGUGAAAAAUUCCAGAAAUAAACAACUCAUAAUUUUUAAAUUGCAUGCCAUUCUCAGUAGCGUGAUGAAAUCUCAAGCUGUCCUACUUCAUCCAGCCCAGGAUAUGAAUCAUGCCUUUGUCCAGCUCUAUAUGCUACCUGCUCGUUAGUCACCUAGUAGCCAUCUCCAUUAUCAAUUUAACUAUUGCAACAUCUCAGUGCUAGUGUUCAGGGAACCCUUAUUUUACUUAGCAAUGGUCCCAAAGCACAAGAGUAGUGAUCCUGGCAUAUUGUUAUAAUUGUUCCAUUUUAUUAUUGUUGUUGAUCUCUUACUGUGUCUGAUUUAUAAAUUAAACUUUAUCACAGGUUUGUAUGUAUAGGAAAGAAAAUGUUGUAUAUAUAGGGUUUGGUACUCUCUUGGUUCAUUUUGUGUUGCCAUAAUGUAAUACCUCAGGUUGGUUAAUUUAUGAAUAAAAUAAGCCUGUUUGGCUCACGGUUCUGUAGGCUGUACAAGCAUGGCACCAGCAUCUGCUUCUGCUGAGGGCCUCAGGCUGCUUCCACUCAUGACAGAAGGUGAAGGGGAGCCAGCAUGUGCAGAGAUCACACAGCGAAAGAGGAAUCAAGAGAGAGGAGGGGAGGUGCCAGGCUGUUUUUCACAACCAGUUCAAUUAGGAACUAAUAGUGUAAGAACUCACUCACCCCCAAGAAAGGGCAUUAAUCUGUACAUGGGUAAUCUGUCCCCAUGACCCAAACAUCUCCCAUAGGCUCCACCUCCAGCAUUGGGGAUCAAAUUUCAACAUGAGGUUUGGCAUGGUCAAACCUCCAAACUACAGCAGGUACUAUCCGAGGUUUCAGGCCACCACUGGGGGUCUUGGGACACAUUUCCCAGGGAUAAGUGGGGGCUGGGCACAUGCAUUGUUGUGGGUGUUUUUCAUGCAUUGUGCUUGGCACUCUGUGGACCUUUUACAUAUCUAUAGAUUCACGUCUUUCAGAAAUGGAGAAAUUUCUUGAAUUGCGUCCUUCUCCCUUCCAUAUUCUCUGUUCCUAGUCUAUGGAACUCCUUGGACUGAUCCUCUAAUUUUAUUAUGUUUUCUCUCCUGUUUUUCACCUCAUUUAUGUUAUUACUCAACUUUCUGGAUAAUUACUUCAAUUAACCUCAUUUUCUAACCAUUAAAUUUAGUUUUUCUUUCUGCUCUCAACUUUGAAGUUCCAAGGAUCAUUUUGGUUCUCUGCUAUGCUAACCUCUUGUGCUUGUCUAUGUAAUCUCUGAAGAUGAAUCAAUCACAGGACUUUGUUGUUGUUGCUAUGGUACAGGUUUCUUGCUGCUGCCCAGAUUGCUUGUUUCAUCCCUAGUUCCUUGUUUUGUUUUGUUUGUUUUUGUUUUUGUUUUUGUCUAUGUCUUUGAUAUUAAGGACUUCUCUCAAAUGCCUGAUGACCCUUGACUGUUCGCUCAUAUUUCAGAGUGAGGCACCCAAUAGUUGAUGGGGUGACAUUCAUCAACUAUAGAAUUCACCAGAGGGUAAACCACUGAGCAGUUUCACCAAGGUACUCCCAACCCUCAACAUCUUUUAAAUUCUAUGCCUG